UACGAAGGGGGCUAGCGUUGUUCGGAAUUACUGGGCGUAAAGCGCAUGUAGGCGGAUCGCUAAGUCAGGGGUGAAAUCCCGAGGCUCAACCUCGGAACUGCCUUUGAUACUGGCGAUCUUGAGUCCGGGAGAGGUGAGUGGAACUCCGAGUGUAGAGGUGAAAUUCGUAGAUAUUCGGAAGAACACCAGUGGCGAAGGCGGCUCACUGGCCCGGUACUGACGCUGAGAUGCGAAAGCGUGGGGAGCAAACAGG
This 253-nucleotide ribosomal RNA is filed under the name uncultured bacterium. Its description in RNAcentral is "partial 16S ribosomal RNA". It matches the Rfam family "Bacterial small subunit ribosomal RNA", at positions 524 to 776 of the family's 1533-position model. The record is from RNAcentral.